Molecule: ribosomal RNA, 400 nt
Filed under: uncultured bacterium
Lineage: Bacteria
Description: bacterial SSU rRNA
Rfam family: Bacterial small subunit ribosomal RNA
Source: RNAcentral
UAAGGAAUAUUGGACAAUGGCCGCAAGGCUGAUCCAGCCAUGCCGCGUGCAGGAUGACGGUGCUAUGCAUUGUAAACUGCUUUUAUCCGGGAAUAAACCCCCGAUUUCCAUCGGGGUUGAAUGUACCGGAAGAAUAAGGGUCGGCUAACUUCGUGCCAGCAGCCGCGGUAAUACGAAGGACCCAAGCGUUAUCCGGAUUCAUUGGGUUUAAAGGGUGCGUAGGCGGACUAUUAAGUCAGUGGUGAAAUCCUGCAGCUUAACUGUAGAAUUGCCAUUGAUACUGAUGGUCUUGAGUGCAGCUGAAGUGGGCGGAAUGUGUCAUGUAGCGGUGAAAUGCUUAGAUAUGACACAGAACACCAAUUGCGUAGGCAGCUCACUAAACUGUAACUGACGCUGAGGC